GCCUAAUUAGGCUCAAUAAAAUCCUAAUCAAAUCAAGAAUUGACUAAGCCCAACCCCUGAUCAAAUCAGGAACCAAACCAUCUCGACGAUUAGGUCAACUCUUAACCUAAUCGGGUCAAACCCAACAGAAUCCAAUUCAAUUGGACUUGAUCCAAAAAUAAUUACUCAAUCAAAUUGAGUUAAUUAGCGAUCAAAUCACUAAUUAAAUCUCUAUAAAUAUUGAAUCCAAAUUUGAUGGGCAAUCGGGUAUCAAAGUCCAUCAAUAUGAAACC
RNAcentral lists this long non-coding RNA (272 nucleotides) under Elaeis guineensis (African oil palm). RNAcentral's name for it is "long non-coding RNA (EGUI_LNC067027)". The record is from RNAcentral. Lineage: Eukaryota; Viridiplantae; Streptophyta; Magnoliopsida; Arecales; Arecaceae.